CGACUCUCGACAACGGAUAUCUCGGCUCUCGCAUCGAUNNNNAACGCAGCGAAAUGCGAUACUUGGUGUGAAUUGCAGAAUCCCGUGAACCAUCGAGUCUUUGAACGCAAGUUGCGCCCGAAGCCAUUAGGCCGAGGGCACGUCUGCCUGGGUGUCACGCAUUGUCUU
RNAcentral lists this ribosomal RNA (168 nucleotides) under Stoibrax dichotomum. RNAcentral describes it as "5.8S ribosomal RNA". It matches the Rfam family "5.8S ribosomal RNA". Rfam says of the family: 5.8S ribosomal RNA (5.8S rRNA) is a component of the large subunit of the eukaryotic ribosome. The record is from RNAcentral. Lineage: Eukaryota; Viridiplantae; Streptophyta; Magnoliopsida; Apiales; Apiaceae.